GUGCCAGCCGCGCGGUAAUACCGGCAGCCCGAGUGAUGGCCGCUAUUAUUGGGCCUAAAGCGUCCGUGGCCGGCCAGACAAGUCCGUUGGGAAAUCCACGCGCUUAACGCGUGGACGUCCGGCGGAAACUGUCUGGCUUGGGGCCGGAAGAUCUGAGGGGUACGUCCGGGGUAGGAGUGAAAUCCCGUAAUCCUGGACGGACCGCCGGUGGCGAAAGCGCCUCAGAAAGACGGACCCGACGGUGAGGGACGAAAGCUAGGGUCUCGAACCGGAUUAGAAACCCUAGUAGUCC
This 292-nucleotide ribosomal RNA is filed under the name uncultured bacterium. RNAcentral describes it as "partial 16S ribosomal RNA". It matches the Rfam family "Archaeal small subunit ribosomal RNA", at positions 455 to 747 of the family's 1478-position model. The record is from RNAcentral.